Molecule: ribosomal RNA, 468 nt
Filed under: uncultured bacterium
Lineage: Bacteria
Description: partial 16S ribosomal RNA
Rfam family: Bacterial small subunit ribosomal RNA
Source: RNAcentral
GACGAACGCUGGCGGCGUGCUUAACACAUGCAAGUCGAACGGAAAGGCCCUGCUUUUGUGGGGUGCUCGAGUGGCGAAAGGGUGAGUAACACGUGAGUAACCUGCCCUUGACUUUGGGAUAACUUCAGGAAACUGGGGCUAAUACCGGAUAGGAGCUCCUGCUGCAUGGUGGGGGUUGGAAAGUUUCGGCGGUUGGGGAUGGACUCGCGGCUUAUCAGCUUGUUGGUGGGGUAGUGGCUUACCAAGGCUUUGACGGGUAGCCGGCCUGAGAGGGUGACCGGCCACAUUGGGACUGAGAUACGGCCCAGACUCCUACGGGAGGCAGCAGUGGGAAAUAUUGCACAAUGGGCGGAAGCCUGAUGCAGCAACGCCGGGUGCGGGAUGACGGCCUUCGGGUUGUAAACCGCUUUCGCCUGUGACGAAGCGUGAGUGACGGUAAUGGGUAAAGAAGCACCGGCUAACUACGUG